Molecule: unclassified non-coding RNA, 327 nt
Organism: Fukomys damarensis (Damara mole-rat)
Lineage: Eukaryota; Metazoa; Chordata; Mammalia; Rodentia; Bathyergidae
Gene: 7SK
Rfam family: 7SK RNA
About the family: 7SK was discovered as an abundant small nuclear RNA in the mid-70s but a possible function has only recently been suggested. Two independent studies have found that 7SK RNA binds the CDK9/cyclin T complex (known as elongation factor P-TEFb).
Source: Ensembl
GGAUGUGAGGGCCAUCUGGAAGAAACAUCUGUCACCGCUUUGAUCACCAAACCUGAUUCAGAUGAUCUGGCUGACCAAGCUGGUAUCCCCUUCCUCCCUCACCGUUCCAUGUGCAUCCCUCCCAAAGCUGCAUACUCCAUCAAAGAGGACGACUACCCCCAGUAGAGAAGGACAGUUUCCUCGGUCAAGGUAUACAAGUAGCUGCACUCCCUUAUUAGGACCUCCAAACAAUCUCUCGUGGACCAUUUCCCAAAGCAUUAGCAAACAACAACAACAACAACAAAAUACAGCUAGCAUUUUAUUAUAGAAGCUAUAAUACAGGUUUUC